Molecule: long non-coding RNA, 2247 nt
Organism: Scatophagus argus
Lineage: Eukaryota; Metazoa; Chordata; Actinopteri; Scatophagidae
Exons: 2
Source: RefSeq, a predicted model, not a curated record
UUAUACACCUGUGGCCAUGGAAGUGAUUGGAACACCUGAAUUCAAUUAUUUGGAUGGGACUUCAUCUUGUAAUGGAGUAUUUUUACAGUGUGUAACUGUUACUUUUGCCAAAGUGCACAACAGUCUUCCACCCGUGGAAUAAAUAAAAAAAGCUCAUGCAUGAAAAAGAGGAACAGGAAAGCAAAGUUGCACCUAUUCGGACAUUUUAGUUUACGAACAACUGGAAGUUGGUGCGUCGCUGUUUUUAUCCCCUCAGUUUUCAACAAGAAGGAACCAAACACGUCUGCCCUAUGGGUAUCGGAGCUCCGGGAGCUCUGCAGCUGUAUGAAGAUGCUACAGUUGUGGAACAACGGCCAGCAGCUGUGUGAGGAAGGAAGCCGGACUGACCAACAUCGUGUUCUUAAGUUUCACCUGCUGCCUCAGCCAGUUGAAUUCUGUUACUUUGUCUCUGCUGUGCUCUAUUGACGCUAGUGAGCAUGCGCAGCUCUGAUAGCGCUUAUGCGACACAGCCUGUUUUUGCUGCAAAGCUCUUCCUGUCUGUGGAGGUGGCAGACUUGCAUUUGUCUAUGAAGAGCCAAUGUUUAUAAUUUCAUAUCUGACGCUUUAUUUUGUUGGUGCAAGAAUCCUUCAAAUCCAAGUUUGCCAUAAAAAGAAUUUUGUCCUUUGAUUUGCAUUAUUGCCAGCAGUGGCCUAAUGUGACCAAAGAAUUUAAAGGAAUGACAAUGCUAUGCUUCCAAUUCUGUGGCAACAGUUUGGUGAAGGUCCUUUUCUAUUCCAGCAUGACUGUGUCCCAGUGCACAAAGCAAAGUCCAUAAAGACAUGGCUGGAUGAGUUUGGUGUGGAAGAACUUGACUGGCCCACACAGAACCCUGACCUCAACCCCAUCCAACACCUUUGGGACAAACUGGAAUAGAGACUGUGAGCCAGUCCUUUUCAUAAAAUAUCAGUGCCUCAGUGCUCUACUGCAUGAAUGGGCAAAAAUGCCCACAGAAACACUUCAACAUGUUGUGGAAAGCCUUCCCAGAAGAGUGGAAGCUGUUGUAGCUGCAAAGCUGUCUUUGUAUUUAGAAUGCAAUGUCAUUAUAAACCUCUGUUGGUGGAAUGGGCAGGUGGCCCAUUACUUUUGUCCAUAUUUUUUACAUGAGUUCGCACAUCUGCCUAAACUACCUUGUUAUAAAUCGUUUUUUCAGAGAUUAUAUACUGUUUCAAUGCACUGUAUGUGUUAGAGUGGUGAAGAUUUGCUUUAUCAUCCUGUGGAAUGUCCUGAUGGUGGAUGUUUGUGGAUGUAAUUCUAAGUGAAACCUUAUUACAUCAGCAGGAUAGCAGGGGCGAGUUCCCUUCAUGUAAUACAUGUAGUCUUCAAGUCUUUACAACAUCAGUUAAUACAGCAUGUUGGUCUUUUGAAAUCUUUGCCAUAUAUUUUGUCUCUUUCUUUGCGUGCAUGAAGUUUUGUGUUUCAGCACUCUCACAUAGUAAUCAUGCUUUGCUUGACUAAAAAGAAACAUAAUUUAACGCUCACCGUAGUGGAUUACCUUAACCAAAUAAUUGUGGAGAAUUAAACCAGUAGCUGUCUAUAAGGUACCACUCAGAAAAGAAACAUUUAGACCUAAUAUGUAACAUUUCUGCAUUAAAAUGACUAACAACGAUAAGAUCCUUUUUAUAUCCUUUGUUUAGUUGUCCAUCUGAUCCCAAAUGUUUCCAGGACUGCUCAAACUCAGAAAGAGCUGUAAUUUUAUUCAAGCUAGCGGUGCAUUCAAUUUCACUUGAUUGCCUGUCAGUGUAACUGCUGGGAGAGAGUCAAGAGAGUGACGUGAAUAAAACUUUAAAGCAUUACCUCGUAUAUGAACAAUUCUGGCUGAAUCACGUCACAUAGAUUUUCAUCUGCAGUGGUUGUUGUUUAACAAUCAACACAACAACUCCCAUGAUCCCACGCAACCUACAUCUUUUGCAGAGAGUCCAGUGUUUUAGCAUUGAAAUGUACUGAUCUGACAUGAAUUGACUUCUUUUAACUUAAGAACCUUUAAUCCACGUGUAUGAAACUUGCUUUAUGAAAAAAAAAAACAAAAUAAAAACCCUGCCUCAGCAACUACAGUACACGUGAAAGUGAUUGAGACAAAAGAGAUUUUUAUUAUAAUAGAGGAUAUAAAAUAAAUAUACAUGACUUUUUUUUUCUCAUUUAACAGUCAUUUGUACAGUGAAAUUUGGACAAGUUUGCUAAAAGCAGCUAAAUAAAUGUUAUUUUCUUUU